AACGAACGCUGGCGGCAGGCCUCAAACAUGCAAGUCUAGGGGGUGUAGCAAUACAUCACCGGCGGACGGGUGCGUAACGCGUGGGAAUAUACCUAUCGAUUCGGAACAACUGAGGGAAACUUCAGCUAAUACCGAAUACGUCCUAACGGAGAAAGAUUUAUCGUCGAUAGAUUAGCCCGCGUUCGAUUAGCUAGUUGGUGGGGUAACGGCCCACCAAGGCGACGAUCGAUAGCUGUUCUGAGAGGAAGAUCAGCCACACUGGGACUGAGACACGGCCCAGACUCCUACGGGAGGCAGCAGUUGGGAAUCUUGGACAAUGGGGGGAAACCCUGAUCCAGCCAUGCCGCGUGAGUGAUGAACGGCCGUUCGGUUAGGUUAAAC
Molecule: ribosomal RNA, 381 nt
Filed under: uncultured bacterium
Lineage: Bacteria
Description: bacterial SSU rRNA
Rfam family: Bacterial small subunit ribosomal RNA
Source: RNAcentral